This is a long non-coding RNA of Ostrea edulis (European flat oyster), 1990 nucleotides long. RefSeq lists it as uncharacterized. The record is from RefSeq and is a predicted model, not a curated record. Lineage: Eukaryota; Metazoa; Mollusca; Bivalvia; Ostreida; Ostreidae. The transcript is spliced from 3 exons.
UUGAUAAACGUGAUAUCAAAUGCGGCAAGCAUCAUAAUUCUUGAUGACCCGAUUGAAAGAUGAUUACCACUUAUUUGAUACUAAUCAGUUUCUUUACAAUAUGUACUGAAAGUACGGAAGAUUGUCCUGAUCAGAAAUGGCCAAGCUGUAAUGAAAAUUGCAAAGCUACAGAAAAAAAGAGUUGUGAACCGUGCGAAGUCGGUACAUUUGGUGAAAAUUGUUCAGAGUCAUGUCCGCCGGACCGUCACGGAGAUAAAUGUUAUUUUGUGUGUAACUGUACAGAGGGAGAAGUUUGUGAUAGACGGUACGGCUGUGUGGAGAACAGAACGGACGACAUCGCGGGGAUAACUACAUACAAAUACGUACAAGUAACAUCAAAGGAUUCUCUCAGUACAACUGCACCAAAGUCUAAAUAUUCCCAAACGUCAAUCUCUCCUGAAGGUGAAUUUAAAUGCUAUUUACAUACGCCACUUUUCUCAGUAAUACGUAACGUUUCAUGAUAUUUCAAGUACAAUUCACUUGUUUCUACAAAAAAAAUUGGGUUGGACAUUACGAGGUUUAGGGUUUAGAGUCAGCAUAAUUUAAUUCAGAUUCUCUAUUUCCUUAAGCUAUACAACUCAUCGGUUAUAAAUACAAAAUAUUUACAAAUAUAUACAAAUAAGAAGUGGACGGCGAGUAGACACACAGAUCCAUACAAUGUACAUGUACAUCCCAUAAUCCCUGGUUGUGGCAAGUAAAAAUGUAGAAUCAGCUCUUAUAUAGGGCAGAAUGUUAUAUUAAAAAAACACACGCGCGCCAUGUUAAUAUAAACCCAAAUAAUUCGAAGAUAUCUUUAAUUAUUUGAAGAUAACAUCAAUCGCGCUCAAUAAUUGAAUUGAUACGGGUAUCAAAUCAAAUCAAUUACUGUGGAAUUAUUGCUCGCAGAAUUUAAUUUGGAGCUUGAUAUAAAUCAUUUGACGAUCUCGUUAGUUUCAUUGAGGAUAUCUUUAAAUUACUUUCAACGAUUUUAUGUAUGGAAUUAAUGUGCGCCAUGAUUCUUUUAAAGAGAGCAUCAAUUCAAUUAAAGAGAUAAUUAAUUCAAGUGUGUAAAUUGUGAAUUGAAGAUAUCUCUAAUUAGAUAGUCACUCUCUCUAAAAGAAUUAUUGCACACAUCAAUUCAAUUACUGAUACCAUUCAUUCAAUUGAUUAACUGAUUGUAUCUUGUUUAACGUCCCUCUCGAGAAUUUUUCACUCAUAUGGAGACGUCACAAAUACCGGUGAAGGGCUUCAAAUUUAGGCCUAUGCUCGGGGAUUAUGGCCAUUGAGCAGUGAGUGCUCUUUAGCGUGCUACACCUACUGUGACAUGAGACAUCCGUAUUUAACGUCAUCUUGGAACCCCGACCUUCAAUAUGUGGUGCGAACGAUCUACCUCUAGACCACCGCGGCGGUUUCAUUCAACUAAAGAGAACGAUAAUUCAAUUAUUGCGAGCAUUGAUUGAAUCGAGUUAUUGGGGCGGUCCUUCAGAUGAGACCGCAAAAACCCAGGCCCCAUGUCACAGCAGGUGUAACACGAUAAAGAUUCCUUCCUGCUCAAAGGCAGUAAACGCCAAACAUAGGCCUACAUUUUGAAACCCUUCACCGGCAAUUGUGACGUCUCCAUGUGAGUGAAAUAUUCCCGUUAAGCAAUACAACCAGUCAAUCGAAUCGAUGCGUGUAUUAACUGAAUUACUGCUCUCUUAAUUGAAUUACAACAGACACCAAUUCAAUUGUCUAUCGUCUAUUCAUUUGAAGAGAGCAACAAUUCAAGUAUAGCGCGUAUCAGUUCAUCAGAAUAAUUAAUGCUAUCAACAAUUCAAUCAAUGCGCGCAAUGAUAUAAUUAAUCAUUUGAAGAGAUUACUCGAAUGGAUGCUCACAUCAAAUGAAGUGAUGAUAUAUUCAAAUGAUUAAAGAUAUUUUCAGUUAUUUGAGUUUGUUAAUCUGGUGCGCCAUAAGCAACUCUACACCCUGAAG